Molecule: long non-coding RNA, 2204 nt
Organism: Lathyrus oleraceus (garden pea)
Lineage: Eukaryota; Viridiplantae; Streptophyta; Magnoliopsida; Fabales; Fabaceae
Exons: 7
Source: RefSeq, a predicted model, not a curated record
CUGUAAUCACAAACCCAAAAGACUCCUCGUCCCCAAUCUCCCUCAAUCUCACAUUUCUCUCACCAGAACCCUCCUUCAAUUGCGUCUCUCCCAAACUCUCGUCUUUCUCACAACACCGCUCAAACAUCGCCUCUCAGACCUCUCUCUCGCGUACCCUUCGCUUACCCAUCACUCAACAACGUUAAGCAACAACAGCGUAAAUCCACGGUUUUACAGAGACCUCAAGCAGAAAUCUCACCUUCGAUGAGACGGCGAAUCAGUAAAAUUCUUAGAAGACUCAGUUGGUUUGGUUGAGGUUCAAUGGCUGUAGCAGGGCGAUCAUGGGAGUAGGGAGUGCUAAAGGAAUGCUCACAACUGGUCAUUGCAGGUGGUGUUUGGGCUGAAACCUGUGGUCUGCAAAUAUUGAUGGAACUUUGAAGAGCUGAGGCAUCAACAUAUGCAUAUACUAUUCCGGCCAACUCUAUAGUCAUACCUCCACCAACUUCAGGAGGCGUUGGUGCUUGGCUCUCUGGUCCAAAGUUUUAUUUGGACAAGCUCCUAUUUCUCUCCACUGAUUAUGGCUAACUUUCUCUGAUUCAAUCUUCUCCAAUGUGAUUCAAUCUUCUCCGUCACGGGGUGGUGAUGUAAAGGCAAUAGGAUUGUGUAUUUGAGAGGUUGAAUAUAAAAGGAUUCAGAACAGACUUAAUCUUCUGUCAUGGCCAUGUGUAGGUGUGUUUCUGUUUUGAUUGGAAGGAAGAACAAAAUUAAGGGCAUUGAAAAAUCUUCAAAAGGAAACCUGGAACAGUUGCAUGCCAAAGUACGACACCCAACGAUAUCAUCAAAGAGUCGUGAUUUAAAGCCAGAAGCCAACCAGACGAAUUCAAGGUGCAACGUGAAGGUUAUGAGUCUUGAGAGUCCAAUGAAGACUGAAGUACUAAUUUUGGAUGCCAUACUGCCGGUUCUACUCAAACUCUUGGUACUAAGAGUCUCAACAGAAGAUUUUAUCGAAUUGACCCUAUCCUUGGAUUUUGAAAUUCCUUCCCUCUUACAACUCUCCGGGCCCUUUGAAUCAACAUAUGGAGCUACUGCAAGCUUAUUCCGUAAAUUACCACAGUCUUGUUUCUGAGAAGAAAGACUGAAAGCUUCAGCAGUAUCCUUUUUCUGGAAGGCCUCUUUUAUUUCCUUAGAAGUUUUCAUGUACCAGGCAAAAAAAAAUAAGUGUUGUUUUCUCCUUCAUCUUCAUCAUAUGCAACAUCUUCACACCCAAAUACUGCUCCAGUAUCAUACUUCUUCUUGAAUGCUACUACCAGCUUUUUUCACACUGAUGACAGAGUUGCGCAGCAGCAGCUGUCUUCCAAAGACGCUCCCGUGCGAGAUCAUUUGCCAUCCAUGCCAUUUCCUCUAGGACAAAAUUCCAGUGAGACUUUCGGAGGACCGGUUCUGAAUUCUUCGACUGCUGCAGAGUUACAUUUUUAGCAAUCCCUUCGCUUACCGGUAGAUUGGGAUUUGGAAGAAUUUUUUUUUUCUUGGACUUAAGCUGCUUGUCAUCCAGAUCUCCAGAAGGCACUUUAUGAUCACUUUCUGAUACACUCCACAUUUCAAAAACAGAUGUAUCAUUGGACUUUUCAAAAAGGGGACAUGUGGAACGGUGUAGUACAUUUUGGAUGGCACCUUCAAUAUUUGAGCUCAAAUGACUUACAUCAAUGCCAUAUACGCUUGCAGUUUCAUCACCAGUAACAUCAUGUCCUUCCAAAUUUCUAGCAAGAUUUUCAAGACUUAUGAAGUAACAUCCUGACAUCAACAUACUUGAAAUACUUGGAUGCUAGUAAAUCAAUCAAGAAAAAUUCAGCAAGACUAUAAGAGUGAAGAAUGAAAGGUUUGUAUGCAAUUAGAGCUCAGGACGCUUGCGUACGGUUUAUGUGUGGAAUUCGAGUUUUGGAAAUUGGUUUCAAAAGUUUGUAAUUGGAUUUUGGUUUAAUGGUUGAAUAAGAAUGGAAUAGGUAAAUGAACAAGUUAAAAUUGAAUUGAUUCUUUUUGGUAUUUUGUCUUGUAAAUGGAUAUCCAAUGGAAAAUUAUGGGUGAAUUUAGGGUUUAAUGAAAUUGGGUUGACUUUGGUCAAAGUUGACCAAAAAGUCAACUGUUGACCAAAGUCAACAAUUGGUCAAAAGUGUCAAUUUUUUGUAUUUUUCUUGUAUGGAAUCAUAUGUACUGGUUUAAACAUGAAA